Molecule: ribosomal RNA, 138 nt
Filed under: uncultured eukaryote
Lineage: Eukaryota
Description: partial 18S ribosomal RNA
Rfam family: Eukaryotic small subunit ribosomal RNA
Source: RNAcentral
UGGUGGAGUGAUUUGUCUGGUUAAUUCCGUUAGCGAACGAGACCUUAGCCUGCUAACUAGUCGCGGCGAUCUCGAUCGUCGUCGACUUCUUAGAGGGACUUUGUGGCACUAAACACAAGGAAGUUUGAGGCAAUAACA